RNAcentral lists this ribosomal RNA (355 nucleotides) under uncultured bacterium. RNAcentral's name for it is "bacterial SSU rRNA". It matches the Rfam family "Bacterial small subunit ribosomal RNA", at positions 445 to 793 of the family's 1533-position model. The record is from RNAcentral.
AGGAAGGUGGGUAUGUUAAUAGCAUAUUCAUUUGACGUUAGCUGCAGAAGAAGCACCGGCUAACUCCGUGCCAGCAGCCGCGGUAAUACGGAGGGUGCGAGCGUUAAUCGGAAUUACUGGGCGUAAAGCGCAUGCAGGUGGUUUGUUAAGUCAGAUGUGAAAGCCCGGGGCUCAACCUCGGAAUUGCAUUUGAAACUGGCAAACUAGAGUACUGUAGAGGGGGUAGAAUUUCAGGUGUAGCGGUGAAAUGCGUAGAGAUCUGAAGGAAUACCGGUGGCGAAGGCGGCCCCCUGGACAGAUACUGACACUCAGAUGCGAAAGCGUGGGGAGCAAACAGGAUUAGAUACCCUGGUAG